AUGUCUAGUCCUUGGUCACAAAGUGCAGCGUAUCGGCUGGCUGAGGGCCGCACCUUCUUUGGCUUGGUUGUCUGAGGUGGUUGUUGCCACUGAGCUGUAGAUUAAAAAGGAAAGACAAAAUGUUAGCUCUCUUGAGCUGUGCAUCAAAGCAUGCCAGAUGCUCAAUUAACCCUUUGUAAGGGGUUACUAACUUUGUAAAGAAGUUACUAACUUCUGAGCAGCAGAAAACCAUUAUAUCAAAGGAUAUAUCAUCAUUGAAAUUACACAGGGGGAGAUUAUUCUAAGACAGUCUAACCUCACUCGGUCAGUGUUGUAUGUGAGUGACUCAUUCUCUUUCUUCCAAAAUAUCUGAGGAGAUGGCUCCCCCGAGAUUCGACACUCCAGUCGCACCGGGAAUCCCUCAGUCACACCUGUGUUUUGUAGCUUUUCUAUAAACACAGGUGCUUUUUGUACUUCCUUAGCUGUGAAAAUAAAGAUUGCAGUUAUGUUGACACUA
Molecule: long non-coding RNA, 496 nt
Organism: Pipra filicauda (Wire-tailed manakin)
Lineage: Eukaryota; Metazoa; Chordata; Aves; Passeriformes; Pipridae
Exons: 2
Source: RefSeq, a predicted model, not a curated record